This 1067-nucleotide ribosomal RNA is filed under the name human gut metagenome. Its description in RNAcentral is "bacterial LSU rRNA". It matches the Rfam family "Bacterial large subunit ribosomal RNA", at positions 1333 to 2421 of the family's 2925-position model. The record is from RNAcentral.
CAGGCCGAAUAUCUAAGGUUUCCAGAGUAAAGCUGAUCUGCUCUGGGUAAGUCGGGACCUAAGGCGAGGUCGAAAGACGUAGUCGAUGGAUAACAGGUUGAAAUUCCUGUACCGCAUAUAAACAGAACUGUGGGGACACAGACAGGGAAUGGAAUCCGGGAAUGGAUAUCCCGGUGCAAGCGAGGUAGGAGUGCUGUUGGCAAAUCCGCAGCACGAUCUGAAGACGUGACGCGUACCGAACAUAAGUAGGGAAGUCCAGGCCCCUGGCUGUCAAGAAAAGCCGCUAUUGUUUUAUAUGUGCCCGUACCGCAAACCGACACAGGUGGAUGAGGAGAGAAUCCUAAGGCCGACGGGAGAAGUAUUGUUAAGGAACUCGGCAAAAUGACUCCGUAACUUCGGGAGAAGGAGUGCCAUGAGAGUGGCCGCAGAGAAAUGGCCCAAGCAACUGUUUAGCAAAAACACAGGUCUAUGCAAAACCGCAAGGUGAAGUAUAUGGGCUGACGCCUGCCCGGUGCUGGAAGGUUAAGGGGAGAGGUUAGCGCAAGCGAAGCUUUGAACUUAAGCCCCAGUAAACGGCGGCCGUAACUAUAACGGUCCUAAGGUAGCGAAAUUCCUUGUCGGGUAAGUUCCGACCCGCACGAAAGGCGUAAUGAUUUGGGCACUGUCUCAACGAUACACCCGGUGAAAUUGAAAUACCAGUGAAGAUGCUGGUUACCUGCGCCAGGACGGAAAGACCCCAUGGAGCUUUACUCCAGUUUGAUACUGGGAUUCGGCAUGGUAUGUACAGGAUAGGUGGGAGACUGAGAAGGUAUGACGUCAGUUGUACCGGAGUCGCUGUUGGGAUACCACCCUUACCAUGUUGGAUUUCUAACCUGUGGCCGUAAGCCGGUCAGGGGACAAUGUCAGGCGGGGAGUUUGACUGGGGCGGUCGCCUCCGAAAGGGUAUCGGAGGCGCUCAAAGGUUCCCUCAGAAUGGUUGGAAACCAUUCGAAGAGUGCAAAGGCAGAAGGGAGCUUGACUGCGACACCGACGGGUGGAGCAGGUACGAAAGUAGGACUUAGUGAUCC